AUUUAUCUGAUCCGCUUCGCAUAAUAUGUGAAUAAUCUGUUCUUAUCAGUUUAAUAUCUGAUACGUCCUCUACCCGAGGACCAUAUAUUAAUCUGAUUUUUGGAACAGGGAGACGGAAGAGGGGCUUGCUCCGUCCGCUCCACGCAUCGACCCGGUAUUGCAGCGACUCCGGGAACGGUGCACAUUCC
Small nuclear RNA from Alosa sapidissima (American shad), 188 nucleotides. RefSeq annotates it as U2 spliceosomal RNA. The record is from RefSeq and is a predicted model, not a curated record. Lineage: Eukaryota; Metazoa; Chordata; Actinopteri; Clupeiformes; Clupeidae. The transcript has a single exon.